Capra hircus (goat) is the source of this 1344-nucleotide RNA transcript. It is a transcript of the gene named growth hormone regulated TBC protein 1, with no coding region annotated. The transcript is spliced from 9 exons. NCBI's taxonomy places the organism in Eukaryota, Metazoa, Chordata, Mammalia, Artiodactyla, Bovidae. The record is from RefSeq and is a predicted model, not a curated record.
CCUCGGCACCCCCCGCCCGCGGCCCGGGCGCCGCCGCCCGCCCCUCUCGGCAUGGAGGCCGCGGGGCGCGCGCAGGCGGCGCGGGACCGCGUCCCCAGGAUCGAUCCGUAUGGGUUUGAAAGGCCUGAGGACUUUGAUUAUGCAGCUUACGAAGAGUUUUUUUCCGCCUACCUGGCGAUCCUCACCAGGAGGGCCAUCAAAUGGUCCAGACUCCUAAAGGGCGGAGGUGCUGUCCAGAGGAGCAUGACCGUGAAGCGCUACAUCCGCAAGGGCAUCCCGCUGGAGCACCGGGCCCGAGUCUGGAUGGGGGUGAGCGGAGCCCAGGCCCGGAUGGACCGGAACCCCGGCUACUACCAGCGCCUCCUGCAGGGUGAGCGGAGCGCCAGCCUGGAGGAGGCCAUCCGGACAGACAUGAACAGGACCUUCCCCGACAACGUGCGCUUCCGGAAGGAUGCGGAACCCUGCCUGCAGGGCCCCCUGUACAACGUGCUGCUGGCCUACGGGCAUCACAACCAUGGCGUGGGCUAUUGCCAGGGGAUGAACUUCAUCGCGGGGUAUCUGAUCCUGGUGACUAAGAGUGAAGAGGAAGCCUUCUGGCUGUUGGACGCCCUGGUGGGCAGGAUACUCCCAGGUGGCGUUUGGGAAUUUGGGGAACUUCAGAGAACAAAGCCUAAAACCCUGGCAGCAACAGCAACUGAGAGAGACAGCAGAUUACUACAGCCCCUCGAUGCUGGGCCUGAAGACGGACCAGGAGGUGCUCGGGGAGCUGGUGCGGACGAAGCUGCCGGCGGUGGCAGCGCUGAUGGAUGGCCACGGCGUGCUGUGGACCCUGGUCGCGUCCCGCUGGUUCAUCUGCCUUUUCGUGGACGUCCUGCCCGUGGAGACGGUGCUGCGUGUCUGGGACUGCCUGUUCAGCGAGGGGUCCAAGAUCAUCUUCCGGGUGGCGCUGACCCUCCUCAAGCAUCACCAGGCCUCCAUCCUGGAGGCCACCAGUGUCCCCGACCUCUGUGAGAAGUUCAAGGAGAUCACCAGGGGCCGCUUUGUCACUGAGUGCCACAGCUUCAUGCAGAGAGUCUUCUCGGAGCCCGGGAGCCUGUCCAGGGCCAGCAUUGCCCGGCUGCGGGAGCGCUGCAGGGCGCAGCUGCUGGCGCAGGGCUGAGGCCUCGAGCUGGCCUCCGGCUGGCGCGGUCACUUCCAAGCGAGCUGUCGUGCUGUCUCUAAAUAUAUAUUUUUACCUGGAAUGCUGACGUGUAUAAAACGUGACGUGCGUGUUUGUGUUCGUUACACCAGUUCUUGUGAGCCUGCAAUGUAAUGUUUAUAAAUGACUUUGAAAUUGUUACACAA